This 460-nucleotide ribosomal RNA is filed under the name uncultured bacterium. RNAcentral describes it as "partial 16S ribosomal RNA". It matches the Rfam family "Bacterial small subunit ribosomal RNA", at positions 338 to 795 of the family's 1533-position model. The record is from RNAcentral.
CCUACGGGAGACAGCAGUGAGGAAUAUUGGUCAAUGGACGCAAGUCUGAACCAGCCAUGCCGCGUGCAGGAUGACGGCUCUAUGAGUUGUAAACUGCUUUUGUACGAGGGUAAACCCCGAUACGUGUAUCGGGUUGAAAGUAUCGUACGAAUAAGGAUCGGCUAACUCCGUGCCAGCAGCCGCGGUAAUACGGAGGAUCCGAGCGUUAUCCGGAUUUAUUGGGUUUAAAGGGUGCGUAGGCGGGUUGAUAAGUUAGCGGUGAAAUGUCGGGGCUCAACCCCGGAACUGCCUCUAAUACUGUUGGGCUAGAGAAUAGGAGCGGUAGGCGGAAUGUAUGGUGUAGCGGUGAAAUGCUUAGAGAUCAUACAGAACACCGAUUGCGAAGGCAGCUUACCAACCUAUAACUGACGUUGAGGCACGAAAGCGUGGGUAGCGAACAGGAUUAGAUACCCUAGUAGUC